AACGUAGGAGACAAACGUUAUCCGGAGUUACUGGGCGUAAAGGGCGUGCAGGUGGUCUGUUAAGUCUGGCGUGAAAGCUCUCGGCUAAACCGGGAGAGGUCGUUGGAUACUGGCGGACUAGAGGACGGUAGAGGCGUGUGGAAUUCCGGGUGUAGUGGCGAAAUGCGUAGAGAUCCGGAGGAACACCAGUGGCGAAGGCGGGUCUCUGGACAGUUCCUGACGCUGAGGCACGAAGGUCAGGGGAGCAAACGGG
RNAcentral lists this ribosomal RNA (253 nucleotides) under uncultured bacterium. RNAcentral's name for it is "partial 16S ribosomal RNA". It matches the Rfam family "Bacterial small subunit ribosomal RNA", at positions 524 to 776 of the family's 1533-position model. The record is from RNAcentral.